Molecule: ribosomal RNA, 406 nt
Filed under: uncultured bacterium
Lineage: Bacteria
Description: partial 16S ribosomal RNA
Rfam family: Bacterial small subunit ribosomal RNA
Source: RNAcentral
AUUGAACGCUGGCGGCAGGCCUAACACAUGCAAGUCGAGCGAGCGGCGGACGGGUGAGUAAUGUCUGGGAAACUGCCUGAUGGCGGGGGAUAACUACUGGAAACGGUAGCUAAUACCGCAUACCAUCAGCUGUGCCCAGAUGGGAUUAGCUGGUCGGUGGGGUAACGGCUCACCUAGGCGACGAUCCCUAGCUGGUCUGAGAGGAUGACCAGCCACAAUGGAACUGCGACACGGUCCAGACUCCUACGGGAGGCAGCAGUGGGGAAUAUUGCACAAUGGGCGCAAGCCGGAUGCAGCCAGGCCGCGUGUGUGAAGAAGGCCUUCGGGUGGUAAAGCACUUUCAGCGGGGAGGCGGUACCCGCAGAAGAAGCACCGGCUAACUCCGUGCCAGCAGCCGCGGUAAUAC